UACGGGGGGGGCAAGCGUUGUUCGGAAUUACUGGGCGUAAAGGGCUCGUAGGCGGCCAACUAAGUCAGACGUGAAAUCCCCAGGCUCAACCUGGGAACUGCGUCUGAUACUGGAUGGCUUGAAUCCGGGAGAGGGAUGCAGAAUUCCAGGUGUAGCGGUGAAAUGCGUAGAUAUCGUAAGGAAGACCAGUGGCGAAGGCGAGUCUCUGGACAGCAACUGACGCUGAGGCACGAAGGCCAGGGGAGCAAACGGG
This 253-nucleotide ribosomal RNA is filed under the name uncultured bacterium. RNAcentral describes it as "partial 16S ribosomal RNA". It matches the Rfam family "Bacterial small subunit ribosomal RNA", at positions 524 to 776 of the family's 1533-position model. The record is from RNAcentral.